This 1754-nucleotide small RNA is filed under the name Pan troglodytes (chimpanzee). Its description in RNAcentral is "retained intron". The record is from RNAcentral. Lineage: Eukaryota; Metazoa; Chordata; Mammalia; Primates; Hominidae.
GUACACAAAAUUAUCAUUACGUGGCCAUCCUGGAAUGAGGCAGAUCGAUCUGGAAAGGCUUGCAGAAAGAUACAUAUUUGUAGUUUUUCCUGAAAAUUUAAAUAUUUAAAGUUCUGUGAUAUGACAGGUAGGCUCUUUCAGGCUACAGGGAGAAGACACUUUAGAGAAAAUGUUAGGGAAUAAUAGAGUGGCUUUUUCGUUUUUUUGCUUCUCUGCUUAUAGUAUUUUGUUUUGGGAGGGAUGGGAUCUGGCCUUGAUUUUGCAGAGACUUCUUGUGCCCAGCCCGUAGUAUCUACCCAAUCAGACAAGGAGCCAGGAAUUACUGCUUCUGCUACUGAUACUGAUAAUGCUAAUGGAGAGGAGGUACCACAUACUCAAGAGAUUUCAGUGUCUUGGGAAGGUGAAGCUGCCCCUGAGAUAAGGACAUCUAAGUUAGGCCAGCCAGAUCCUGCACCCUCUAAGAAGAAAUCCAAUAGACUCACCUUAAGCAAAAGAAAGAAGGAAGCUCAAGAUGAGAAGGUGGAGAAAACUCAAGGUGGACAUGAGCACAGACAGGAAGACCAACUAAAGGAAACAGUUCAGGAUCAUUCUCAGAUCAGGGACCAGCAAAAAGGAGAGAUAAGUGGUUUUGGUCAAUGUCUGGUCUGGGUCCAGUGUUCCUUCCCAAACUGUGGGAAAUGGAGGCGGCUGUGUGGGAACAUUGACCCCUCAGUUCUCCCAGAUAAUUGGUCCUGUGAUCAGAACACAGAUGUGCAGUAUAAUCGCUGUGAUAUUCCUGAGGAGACCUGGACAGGGCUUGAGAGUGAUGUGGCCUAUGCCUCCUACAUCCCAGGAUCCAUCAUCUGGGCCAAGCAAUACGGUUACCCCUGGUGGCCAGGCAUGAUAGAAUCUGAUCCUGACUUAGGGGAAUAUUUUCUUUUUACUUCCCAUCUUGAUUCCCUGCCGUCUAAGUACCAUGUGACGUUUUUUGGAGAAACAGUUUCUCGUGCAUGGAUCCCAGUCAACAUGCUAAAGAACUUCCAGGAGCUGUCCCUGGAGCUAUCAGUCAUGAAAAAGCGCAGAAAUGACUGCAGCCAGAAACUGGGGGUGGCCCUGAUGAUGGCUCAAGAGGCAGAACAGAUCAGCAUUCAGGAACGGGUUAACUUGUUUGGUUUCUGGAGCCGAUUCAACGGAUCUAACAGUAAUGGGGAAAGAAAAGACUUACAGCUCUCUGGUUUGAACAGCCCAGGAUCCUGCUUGGAGAAAAAUGAGAAAGAGGAAGAGUUGGAAAAGGAGGAAGGAGAGAAAACAGCCCUAAGAAAAAAUUUAAAGCUCCCCAGAGCAAGGCCUUGGCAGCCAGCUUUUCAGAGGGAAAAGAAGUUAGAACAGUGCCAAAGAACCUGGGCCUAUCAGCGUGUAAGGGGGCCUGCCCCUCAUCUGCGAAAGAAGAGCCCAGACACCGGGAACCCCUGACCCAGGAGGCUGGAAGUGUCCCCCUUGAGGACGAAGCCUCCAGUGACCUGGACCUGGAGCAACUCAUGGAAGAUGUUGGGAGAGAGCUGGGGCAGAGCGGGGAGCUGCAGCACAGCAACAGUGAUGGCGAGGACUUCCCCGUGGCGCUGUUUGGGAAGUAGCUGGUGCUCCUCUGCUCCCUCUUUUUCUCCCUUCUCUGGGGCGCAGGAGGGAGAAGUUGCUAAGUGCUGGGUCUGUUCAUUGGCUAUGAGGUUCAAAUGUGUGUGGUGCAGUUUCUGUGUUAAUAAAGCAGGUUACGGUCG